CAGUCGCCACGGGAAUACGGAGGGUGCAAGCGUUAUCCGGAUUUAUUGGGUUUAAAGGGUCCGUAGGCGGAUCUGUAAGUCAGUGGUGAAAUCUCACAGCUUAACUGUGAAACUGCCAUUGAUACUGCAGGUCUUGAGUAAAUUUGAAGUGGCUGGAAUAAGUAGUGUAGCGGUGAAAUGCAUAGAUAUUACUUAGAACACCAAUUGCGAAGGCAGGUCACUAAGAUUUAACUGACGCUGAUGGACGAAAGCGUGGGGAGCGAACAGGAUUAGAUACCCGAGUAGUCCCUGUCUCUUAUAC
RNAcentral lists this ribosomal RNA (301 nucleotides) under uncultured bacterium. RNAcentral describes it as "partial 16S ribosomal RNA". It matches the Rfam family "Bacterial small subunit ribosomal RNA", at positions 509 to 807 of the family's 1533-position model. The record is from RNAcentral.